RNAcentral lists this ribosomal RNA (458 nucleotides) under uncultured Thauera sp. Its description in RNAcentral is "bacterial SSU rRNA". It matches the Rfam family "Bacterial small subunit ribosomal RNA", at positions 923 to 1382 of the family's 1533-position model. The record is from RNAcentral. Lineage: Bacteria; Pseudomonadati; Pseudomonadota; Betaproteobacteria; Rhodocyclales; Zoogloeaceae.
GCACAAGCGGUGGAGCAUGUGGUUAAUCGACGCAACGCGAAGAACCUUACCAGGGAUUGACAUCCCCUGACCGGAUAUGAAAGUAUCAAUUCCUCUUCGGAGGACAGGGAGGCAGGUGGUGCAUGGUUGUCGUCAGCUCGUGUCGUGAGAUGUUGGGUUAAGUCCCGCAACGAGCGCAACCCUUGUCAUUAGUUGCCAUCAUUUAGUUGGGCACUCUAAUGAGACUGCCGGUGACAAACCGGAGGAAGGUGGGGAUGACGUCAAGUCCUCAUGGCCCUUAUGGGUAGGGCUUCACACGUCAUACAAUGGUCGGUACAGAGGGUUGCCAAGCCGCGAGGUGGAGCCAAUCCCUUAAAGCCGAUCGUAGUCCGGAUCGUAGUCUGCAACUCGACUACGUGAAGUCGGAAUCGCUAGUAAUCGCAGAUCAGCAUGCUGCGGUGAAUACGUUCCCGGGUCUU